RNAcentral lists this ribosomal RNA (1367 nucleotides) under uncultured bacterium. RNAcentral's name for it is "partial 16S ribosomal RNA". It matches the Rfam family "Bacterial small subunit ribosomal RNA", at positions 28 to 1381 of the family's 1533-position model. The record is from RNAcentral.
GACGAACGCUGGCGGCGUGCCUAAUACAUGCAAGUAGAACGCUGAAGGAGGAGCUUGCUUCUCUGGAUGAGUUGCGAACGGGUGAGUAACGCGUAGGUAACCUGCCUGGUAGCGGGGGAUAACUAUUGGAAACGAUAGCUAAUACCGCAUAAGAGUAGAUGUUGCAUGACAUUUGCUUAAAAGGUGCAAUUGCACCACUACCAGAUGGACCUGCGUUGUAUUAGCUAGUUGGUGGGGUAACGGCUCACCAAGGCGACGAUACAUAGCCGACCUGAGAGGAUGAUCCGCCACACUGGGACUGAGACACGGCCCAGACUCCUACGGGAGGCAGCAGUGGGGAAUUUUGGACAAUGGGCGCAAGCCUGAUCCAGCCAUGCCGCGUGUCUGAAGAAGGCCUUCGGGUUGUAAAGGACUUUUGUCAGGGAAGAAAAGGGCGGGGUUAAUACCCCUGUCUGAUGACGGUACCUGAAGAAUAAGCACCGGCUAACUACGUGCCAGCAGCCGCGGUAAUACGUAGGGUGCGAGCGUUAAUCGGAAUUACUGGGCGUAAAGCGGGCGCAGACGGUUACUUAAGCAGGAUGUGAAAUCCCCGGGCUCAACCUGGGAACUGCGUUCUGAACUGGGUGACUAGAGUGUGUCAGAAGGAGGUAGAAUUCCACGUGUACCAGUGAAAUGCCUAAAGAUGUGGAGGAACACCGAUGGCGAAGGCGACUUUCUGGUCUGUUGCUGAAGAUGAUGUGCGAAAGCGUGGGGAUCAAACAAGAUUAUAUACCCUGGUAGUCCGCGCCGUAAACGAUGAGUGCUAAGUGGGGGGGGGUUUCCUCCCCUUAGUAGCGAAGCUACNGCGUGAAAUCGACCGCCUGGGGAGUACGGUCGCAGAUUUAAACNUCAAAGGAAUGACGNNGGACCCGCACAAGCGGUGGAUGAUGUGGAUUAAUUCGAUGCAACGCGAAGAACCUUACCUGGUCUUGACAUGUACGGAACCCUCCAGAGACGGAGGGGUGCCUUCGGGAGCCGUAACACAGGUGCUGCAUGGCUGUCGUCAGCUCGUGUCGUGAGAUGUUGGGUUAAGUCCCGCAACGAGCGCAACCCUUGUCAUUAGUUGCCAUCAUUAAGUUGGGCACUCUAAUGAGACUGCCGGUGACAAGCCGGAGGAAGGUGGGGAUGACGUCAAGUCCUCAUGGCCCUUAUGACCAGGGCUUCACACGUCAUACAAUGGUCGGUACAGAGGGUAGCCAAGCCGCGAGGUGGAGCCAAUCUCACAAAACCGAUCGUAGUCCGGAUUGCACUCUGCAACUCGAGUGCAUGAAGUCGGAAUCGCUAGUAAUCGCAGGUCAGCAUACUGCGGUGAAUACGUUCCCGGGUCU